UGAUGGCACGACAGCGGGCAACGGAAUCCCAAAAGCAGCUGUCUUCCUCUGAGCAUUCCAGCUGCGGUUGGAUUUCGUUACCUGCUCUCCUGCCCGG
RNAcentral lists this microRNA precursor (97 nucleotides) under Chrysemys picta bellii (western painted turtle). RNAcentral's name for it is "miRNA (ENSCPBG00000004032.1)". It matches the Rfam family "mir-191 microRNA precursor family". Lineage: Eukaryota; Metazoa; Chordata; Testudines; Emydidae. RNAcentral also lists the same sequence under 1 other name. The record is from RNAcentral.